AUACGGAGGGUGCAAGCGUUAUUCGGAAUCACUGUGCGUAAAGGACGCGUAGGCGGGUUGGCAAGUCAGAUGUGAAAUCCUACAGCUUAACUGUAGAACUGCAUUUGAAACUGCUAACCUAGAGUAUGGGAGGGGGAGAUGGAAUUAGUGGUGUAGGGGUAAAAUCCGUAGAUAUCACUAGGAAUACCGAAAGCGAAGGCGAUCUCCUGGAACAUAACUGACGCUAAGGCGUGAAAGCGUGGGGAGCAAACAGGAUUAGAAACCCUAGUAGUCC
RNAcentral lists this ribosomal RNA (274 nucleotides) under uncultured bacterium. RNAcentral's name for it is "partial 16S ribosomal RNA". It matches the Rfam family "Bacterial small subunit ribosomal RNA", at positions 523 to 796 of the family's 1533-position model. The record is from RNAcentral.